This 321-nucleotide unclassified non-coding RNA is filed under the name uncultured fungus. RNAcentral's name for it is "partial contains small subunit ribosomal RNA, internal transcribed spacer 1, and 5.8S ribosomal RNA". The stretch from base 1 to 73 matches the Rfam family "Eukaryotic small subunit ribosomal RNA", at positions 1759 to 1831 of the family's 1831-position model. Lineage: Eukaryota; Fungi. The record is from RNAcentral.
GCAAACUUGGUCAUUUAGAGGAAGUAAAAGUCGUAACAAGGUUUCCGUAGGUGAACCUGCGGAAGGAUCAUUAUUGACACCCGGGGGACUGCUUUGGUUAGCCCUGCGCCGGCAGACAUGCCGUGCUGCGGGCCCCAGGCAGUCUCUGUCCACACCCUCCUUCACCCCUGUGCACCUUUGGGAGGGCGGGCCGUACGUCCGCCGUCCCGUUUCACAAACACUGUAUUCAGAAUGUCCUUGCGGACUCAGUGCCGCAGCCAAUGUAAUGAAACAACUUUCAACAACGGAUCUCUUGGCUCUCGCAUCGAUGAAGAACGCAGC